AUGACGGGCCAGGAGGCCCUGGACCGGACGCGCCUGGACCGCGAGGCCCCGGACCGGGCGGGCGCUCGAGGUUCCCGCGUAGCCUCGGGCUUCUUGAUGUUCUUGGAGUUAGCGGCGGCGGAGGAGGGGACGCUGGAGGGGGGAGGUUCCGCCGCAGCCUCGGGCUUCUUGAGGUUCUUGGGGGUGGCGGUGGUGGUGGAGGAGGAGGAGUUGAGGGCAGCUCAGGCGGCGGUGGUGUCACUCGUCCGCAAGAUUGCGAGAGCUCCGCGGAGUUGCAAGAUUCGACUGUGGAUGUGGUGGCCAGCCAUGAAUUUCCUCAAGAGGCAGAAGCUUACUCGAGUGAAAGAUGUUCAGGGUGACUGGGAGACCUCAAUGAGACUGAUGCACAACCUGGAUAUUCCUGAGGGAGAUAGCUCCGAGGUUGCAGGAGGAGUUGAGGUCUGCUCAAGCGGUGGUGGUGGCACCGGCCCGCAAGAUCCUGAGAGCUCCGCCAAGCUGCAAGAUUCGACUGUGGAUGGUGUGCUGGCCAGAUACAGCCAUGAAUUUCCUCAAGAGGCAGAAGCUUACUCGAGUCAAAGAUGUGAUUGGAUUGAGCUAUUUCUUCUGACAGAAUGUAUUUCACAGUUUCAGUUUAACUGGGAGAACUCAGUGAGAUUGAUGCAGAGUCUGGAUUUUCCUGAGGGAGAUAACUCUGAGGUUGCAGGAGGAGUUAAGGGCUGCUCAAGCGGUGGUGGUGGUGGCACUGGCCCGCAAGAUCCUGAAAGCUCCUUCGAGCUGCAAGAUUCGAUUUCAGAUGAUAAUCUGGUGUCCAGAUACAGCUGCUUGACAAGUACCAGUGUCAAAUCCUUGUUGCAACAUGAUGGUCCUGAAGAGGCAGAAGUUUACUCGAGUCAAAGUUGUGAUUGGAUUGAGCUUCUGGCAGAAUGUAUUUCACAGGGUAACUGGGAGAAGACAUGUAUGAGGCUGGUUCACCAUCUGGGUAGUCCUGAGGGUGAUAGCUCAGAGGUUCUUAGUGCUUGUGACAGUUCUGCAAAAGAGAGAGCUGGUGACCACCUUUCCCCCCCAAGCGUACGAGGGGAUGAUGAUCUGCUGGAGUUUCCAGUUCUUGCUCUACUGCUGACACAGCUGCGUGGCGCCGGUGUCUUCGGCUACGUCGACGGCACUCAGCCGGAGCCGGCGAGACUCCUCGUCACCACCAAGGAAGGCAAGGAGGUGUCAUCGCCCAACCCUCUCCACCCAAUCUGGGUCAGGGAGGAUCAGCAGGUUCUUGGAUACCUGCUGAACAAUCUGACACGCGAGGUGCUUCUCACGGUGACCACGGUCACCACCGCGGGCGCGCUCUGGACGACGCUCGCCGGCAUGUUUUCCUCGCAGUCCGCCAGCCGCAUCAACAACAUCCGAACCUCCCUCAUCAACGCGCAGAAGGGCAACCUCUCCGUCGCCUCCUACUUCGCCGCCAUGCGCGGCUACGCCGACGUACUCGCAGCCGCGGGCAAGGCGAUCCCCGACGACGAACUGGCGUCCUACAUCAUCCACGGGCUCGACGCCGACUAUCAGCCCCUCGUAUCUGCCCUAGACGCCCGCGUGACCCAGGUAACCCUUGAUGAGCUCUUCGCCAUGCUGUCAAAUUUCGAUCAACGCAUGGUACAGUUCCAAGGAUCCGGUGGCGGCGGCUUCAAGUCGUCCGCAAACAUGGCCACUCGUGGACGGGGUGGCGGCUCCCGAUCGCGUGGCUCCUCUCGCACCAAAGGCAGGUUCGGUGGCGGCAACCGUGGCUCCGUGCCACCUCAAUCCGGAGGCCGUGGUCGCCGUGGCCGCGGCACUGGUGGUGGCGGCAGAACCCGUCCCGAUGCUCCCCGGUGUCAGAUCUGCGGCAAGCCUAGACACACAGCGAAGGACUGCUGGUACAGUGCGUCGCUGAAGGCAACCGGAUUCUUCGGCCUAGAUCCGUUGGCCAGCAUGUUCUACCAGUCGAGCUUCUGGUGGCCGGAGCAUACGAAGGCGUGGCCAUAA
Molecule: ribosomal RNA, 2013 nt
Filed under: Triticum aestivum (bread wheat)
Lineage: Eukaryota; Viridiplantae; Streptophyta; Magnoliopsida; Poales; Poaceae
Description: partial small subunit ribosomal RNA
Source: RNAcentral